This is a non-coding RNA of Leptonychotes weddellii (Weddell seal), 321 nucleotides long. Lineage: Eukaryota; Metazoa; Chordata; Mammalia; Carnivora; Phocidae. The record is from RefSeq and is a predicted model, not a curated record.
CGAGGCCCACGGGGGCAGGGCUGGGUGAUCUGUUCGAGGCUGCCCCACCCAUAGGGCCCGAGCUGCAGGCUGACUUGGGUCUCGCUGAACGUUGUUGAAGGACUGUCCUACAGGCCCAGGGAGCCAAGCCUGGGCUGGGGAAUCAGAGCUACGGUCUUCCAGGGGACUAGCUUCCCAGAAUCCUGCCCCACCUUCAAGGCUCUACCUACCCUGGGCCCUCCUCCUCCAGGAAGACCCUCUGGACCGCCCCGCGCCCAGCCAUCGAUCACUCCUUCUCAGGUUCCACACCCAGCACGGAGCCCAACUGUGGGGCCUGAACUC